AGAGGUGGCAAGCGUUGUUCGGAAUUACUGGGCGUAAAGGGCGCGUAGGCGGUUCGUUAAGUCCUGUGUGAAAUCCCCCGGCUCAACUGGGGAACUGCACAGGAAACUAGCGGGCUUGAGUUCGGGAGAGGAUGGUGGAAUUCCCAGUGUAGCGGUGAAAUGCGUAGAUAUUGGGAGGAACACCGGUGGCGAAGGCGGCCAUCUGGACCGGUCCUGACGCUGAGGCGCGAAAGCGUGGGGAGCAAACAGGAUUAGAUACCCUGGUAGUCCACGCCCUAAACGAUGGGUACUCGGUGUCGCGGGUAUCGACCCCUGCGGUGCCUUAGCUAACGCGUUAAGUACCCCGCCUGGGGAGUACGGUCGCAAGGCUG
Molecule: ribosomal RNA, 371 nt
Filed under: uncultured bacterium
Lineage: Bacteria
Description: bacterial SSU rRNA
Rfam family: Bacterial small subunit ribosomal RNA
Source: RNAcentral